AUACUUGCAUAUCAAAAGCGGAGGAAAAGAAACCAACAGGGAUUGCCUUAGUAGCGGCGAGUGAAGCGGCAAAAGCUCAAAUUUGAAAUCUGGCUCUUUCAGAGUCCGAGUUGUAAUUUGAAGAAGGUAUCUUUGGGUCUGGCUCUUGUCUAUGUUUCUUGGAACAGAACGUCACAGAGGGUGAGAAUCCCGUGCGAUGAGAUGAUCCAGGCCUAUGUAAAGUUCCUUCGAAGAGUCGAGUUGUUUGGGAAUGCAGCUCUAAGUGGGUGGUAAAUUCCAUCUAAAGCUAAAUAUUGGCGAGAGACCGAUAGCGAACAAGUACAGUGAUGGAAAGAUGAAAAGAACUUUGAAAAGAGAGUGAAAAAGUACGUGAAAUUGUUGAAAGGGAAGGGCUUGAGAUCAGACUUGGUAUUUUGUAUGUUACUUCUUCGGGGGUGGCCUCUACAGUUUAUCGGGCCAGCAUCAGUUUGGGCGGUAGGAGAAUUGCGUUGGAAUGUGGCACGGCUUCGGUUGUGUGUUAUAGCCUUCGUCGAUACUGCCAGCCUAGACUGAGGACUGCGGUUUAUACCUAGGAUGUUGGCAUAAUGAUCUUAAGUCGCCCGUCUUGAACCACGGACCCC
RNAcentral lists this ribosomal RNA (620 nucleotides) under Candida tropicalis. Its description in RNAcentral is "eukaryotic LSU rRNA". It matches the Rfam family "Eukaryotic large subunit ribosomal RNA", at positions 30 to 669 of the family's 3401-position model. Lineage: Eukaryota; Fungi; Ascomycota; Pichiomycetes; Serinales; Debaryomycetaceae. The record is from RNAcentral.